AGAGUUUGAUCCUGGCUCAGGACGAACGCUGGCGGCGUGCCUAAUACAUGCAAGUCGAGCGAGCUUGCCUAGAUGAUUUUAGUGCUUGCACUAAAUGAAACUAGAUACAAGCGAGCGGCGGACGGGUGAGUAACACGUGGGUAACCUGCCCAAGAGACUGGGAUAACACCUGGAAACAGAUGCUAAUACCGGAUAACAACACUAGACGCAUGUCUAGAGUUUGAAAGAUGGUUCUGCUAUCACUCUUGGAUGGACCUGCGGUGCAUUAGCUAGUUGGUAAGGUAACGGCUUACCAAGGCAAUGAUGCAUAGCCGAGUUGAGAGACUGAUCGGCCACAUUGGGACUGAGACACGGCCCAAACUCCUACGGGAGGCAGCAGUAGGGAAUCUUCCACAAUGGACGAAAGUCUGAUGGAGCAACGCCUCGUGAGUGAAGAAGGGUUUCGGCUCGUAAAGCUCUGUUGGUAGUGAAGAAAGAUAGAGGUAGUAACUGGCCUUUAUUUGACGGUAAUUACUUAGAAAGUCACGGCUAACUACGUGCCAGCAGCCGCGGUAAUACGUAGGUGGCAAGCGUUGUCCGGAUUUAUUGGGCGUAAAGCGAGUGCAGGCGGUUCAAUAAGUCUGAUGUGAAAGCCUUCGGCUCAACCGGAGAAUUGCAUCAGAAACUGUUGAACUUGAGUGCAGAAGAGGAGAGUGGAACUCCAUGUGUAGCGGUGGAAUGCGUAGAUAUAUGGAAGAACACCAGUGGCGAGGGCGGCUCUCUGGUCUGCAACUGACGCUGAGGCUCGAAAGCAUGGGUAG
This 800-nucleotide ribosomal RNA is filed under the name uncultured bacterium. RNAcentral's name for it is "bacterial SSU rRNA". It matches the Rfam family "Bacterial small subunit ribosomal RNA", at positions 8 to 768 of the family's 1533-position model. The record is from RNAcentral.